This 303-nucleotide ribosomal RNA is filed under the name uncultured bacterium. Its description in RNAcentral is "partial 16S ribosomal RNA". It matches the Rfam family "Bacterial small subunit ribosomal RNA", at positions 507 to 808 of the family's 1533-position model. The record is from RNAcentral.
AGCAGUCGCCACGGAAAACAGAGGGUGCGAGCGUUAAUCGGAUUUACUGGGCGUAAAGCGUGCGUAGGCGGCUUCUUAAGUCGGAUGUGAAAUCCCUGAGCUUAACUUAGGAAUUGCAUUCGAUACUGGGAAGCUAGAGUAUGGGAGAGGAUGGUAGAAUUCCAGGUGUAGCGGUGAAAUGCGUAGAGAUCUGGAGGAAUACCGAUGGCGAAGGCAGCCAUCUGGCCUAAUACUGACGCUGAGGUACGAAAGCAUGGGGAGCAAACAGGAUUAGAUACCCCAGUAGUCCCUGUCUCUUAUACA